CCUACGGGAGNCAGCAGUAGGGAAUCUUCCGCAAUGGGCGAAAGCCUNACGUAGCAACNCCGCGUGAGUNAUGAAGGUCUUCGGAUCGUAAAACUCUGUUAUCANGGAAGAACAAAUGUGUAAGUAACUGUGCACAUCUUGACGGUACCUGAUCAGAAAGCCNCGGCUAACUACGUGCCAGCAGCCGCGGUAAUACGUAGGUGGCAAGCGUUAUCCGGAAUUAUUGGGCGUAAAGCGCGCGUAGACGGUUUUUUAAGUCUGAUGUGAAAGCCCACGGCUCAACCCUGGAGGGUCAUUGGAAACUGGAAAACUUGAGUGCAGAAGAGGAAAGUGGAAUUCCAUGUGUAGCGGUGAAAUGCGCAGAGAUAUGGAGGAACACCAGUGGCGAAGGCGACUUUCUGGUCUGUAACUGACGCUGAUGUGCGAAAGCGUGGGGAUCAAACAGGAUUAGAUACCCUGGUAGUCCACGCCGUAAACGAUGAGUGCUAAGUGUUAGGGGGUUUACGCCCCUU
RNAcentral lists this ribosomal RNA (512 nucleotides) under uncultured bacterium. RNAcentral describes it as "bacterial SSU rRNA". It matches the Rfam family "Bacterial small subunit ribosomal RNA", at positions 338 to 841 of the family's 1533-position model. The record is from RNAcentral.